Cucurbita moschata (crookneck pumpkin) is the source of this 1937-nucleotide RNA transcript. It is a transcript of the gene named heat stress transcription factor A-6b-like, with no coding region annotated. The transcript is spliced from 5 exons. Lineage: Eukaryota; Viridiplantae; Streptophyta; Magnoliopsida; Cucurbitales; Cucurbitaceae. The record is from RefSeq and is a predicted model, not a curated record.
GGUCAUUUGUGGUCACCAAUUUAUAAGACUGCGAGCCCUGAGCUCCACCUCAUCGUUGAGCUUCCAUUUCCAUUCGACCUUCCAGAACCUUCAUUUCUCUCUUUCUCUCUCUACUUUCUCUCUCCUCCAACUUCCCCAAGAAACUUCUCUGCGAUUUUUCAUUUCUUUAUGCUACAAGAGAUGAAUCCUCUGUUUUCGGUUAAGGAAGAGUUUCCUGGAUCGAAUUCGUCGGAGGCCGACAGAGAGCGAUUGGCUAUGGCUCCUCCGAUUCCGAUGGAGGGCCUUCACGAUGCCGGUCCACCGCCGUUUCUGACGAAGACGUUUGAAAUCGUUGAUGAUUUUAACACCGAUCAUGUGAUUUCUUGGAGCUUUGGGGGAAAUAGCUUCGUCGUUUGGGAUCCCCAUUGCUUCUCCACUGAAUUGCUUCCCAGAUUCUUUAAGCAUAAUAACUUUUCCAGUUUCGUUCGGCAGCUUAAUACUUACGGCUUUAGAAAGAUAGAUCCAGAUAGAUGGGAGUUCGCAAAUGAGGGAUUUCUCAGAGGCCAAAAGCAUCUUCUUAAGAACAUAAAGAGGAGGAGGGCAACUUAUCACCACCACCAAACUCCCCAAUCACAAGCUGCUAGUGGAGCUUGUGUAGAGGUUGGUCAAUUUGGUGUAGAUGCAGAAAUGGAUCGUUUAAAACGUGACAAGCAAGUGCUAAUGAUGGAGUUAGUGAAGCUAAGGCAAGAGCAACAGAACACGAGAGCGUAUCUUCAAGCAAUGGAGCAAAGGCUUAGAGGAACUGAAAUUAAGCAGAGACAAAUGAUGAAUUUCUUAGCAAGAGCUAUGCAAAACCCAUCGUUCAUUCAGCAAUUACUCCAGCAGAAGGAGAAGAGGAAGGUGCUUGAAGAAGCCAUAACUAGGAAAAGAAGAAGGCCUAUUCAACAAGGCGGGAAACAGAGCGGAGGUGGUAGUGGGAGAUUCUUGGGUGAAGGUUCAAGCACCAUCAAGAUUGAGCCUCUUGAACCUGAAGAAUAUGGGUUUGGGAUUACAGAGCUAGAAGCACUUGCCUUGGAGAUGCAGGGGCUUGGCAGGGCAAGACAUGAAGAGGAGGAGGAGGAGGAGGAGGAGGAGGAGGAGGAGGAAGAAGAAGAAGAAGAAGAGGAAGAAGAUCAUUUACCUCCACCAGCGGAUGGAGAUAAAGUACUUGAUGAAGGGUUUUGGGAAGAAUUGUUCAGCGAAAGGUUGGAGGUAGCCAGUGGUGACGAUGAAGAUGUGAAAGUUCUGGCUGAUCGUUUGGGCUAUUUGGGCUCAAACCCACGAUAGAGCCAUCCCGCUGGGCAUCAUAUGGGGAAUUCACAAACGACCCAUUUGAACUGGAAGUCCAGAAAAGGCUGCUCCAUGUAGGCCUUUGGGGCAAUGUUCUAAGCCCCUUUAUAACCCUCUUUUGGUUUCUUCUUUGGCAGGACAAGAAGAUGAAAAGAAAGAUCGGUGCUAUCAGGGACACAGCUUUUUCUGUUUUGGCAUUAUCUUUCUAACACAAAAAUAAUCGUUGAUGCUUUCCCUUCCCCCUUCUGCAGCCACUUCCUCAUAUAUAUUUCUCUACUGUGGCUUUUGUUAGGUUUGCAGGAACCUAAUCUGGUUGGACUCAAAUUCUGUGUUUAUCCUGUUAGUGAAGCCUCAAGAUCGCUCAUUCCAAAAGCUAUCAAAUUGGAAAAGAGAAAAGAUGUGUUGCUGAAUCCUUGAAGAAUCGAUCACAUGCUGUUCCGUGUUUCUAAAUUAUUUAAGAAUCGAGUUUGUAUCCGUCUGAGUGUCUGAGUUUGGGAGCAGUUGGAGGUGAGUUUGGACAAAUUUAGUUCUCUUUAAGCACUAUUUUCUUAUCACUUUAACGUUAAAAAUUCAUGUUAGUCAUAUUUGAACUUUGUCAAAUCACGGGAAAGUUUUAUUUGUCUCCGAAA